Molecule: ribosomal RNA, 482 nt
Filed under: uncultured bacterium
Lineage: Bacteria
Description: partial 16S ribosomal RNA
Rfam family: Bacterial small subunit ribosomal RNA
Source: RNAcentral
AUUGAACGCUGGCGGCAUGCCUUACACAUGCAAGUCGAACGGUAACGGGCCUUCGGGUGCCGACGAGUGGCGCACGGGUGAGUAAUACAUCGGAACGUGCCCGAUCAUGGGGGCUAACGCUGCGGAAGCUUUGCUAAUACCUCAUACGAUCUACGAAUGAAAUCAGGGGACCGCAAGGCCUUGCGCGGACGGAGCGGUCGGUGGCAGAUUAGGUAGUUGGUGGGAUACAAGCUUACCAAGCCGCCGAUCUGCAGCUGGUCUGAGAGGAGGAUCAGCCACACUGGAACGGAGACACGGCCCAGACUCCUACGGGAGGCAGCGGUGGGGAAUGUUGGACAAUGGGCGCAAGCCUGAUCCAGCCAUGCCGCGUGCAGGAUGAAGGCCUUCGGGUUGUAAAAUUCUUUUGUACGUAACGAAAAGCCUUCUUUUAAUACAGGAGGGUCAUGACGGUACCGUAAGAAUAAGCACCGGCUAACUACGUG